RNAcentral lists this ribosomal RNA (465 nucleotides) under uncultured bacterium. RNAcentral describes it as "partial 16S ribosomal RNA". It matches the Rfam family "Bacterial small subunit ribosomal RNA", at positions 28 to 507 of the family's 1533-position model. The record is from RNAcentral.
GACGAACGCUGGCGGCGUGCUUAACACAUGCAAGUCGUACGGUAAGGCCCUUUCGGGGGUACACGAGUGGCGAACGGGUGAGUAACACGUGAGUAACCUGCCCACAACUUUGGGAUAACGCUAGGAAACUGGUGCUAAUACUGGAUAUGUGCCCCUGCUGCAUGGUGGGGGUUGGAAAGCUCCGGCGGUUGUGGAUGGACUCGCGGCCUAUCAGCUUGUUGGUGGGGUAGUGGCCUACCAAGGCGGCGACGGGUAGCCGGCCUGAGAGGGUGACCGGCCACAUUGGGACUGAGAUACGGCCCAGACUCCUACGGGAGGCAGCAGUGGGGAAUAUUGCACAAUGGGCGCAAGCCUGAUGCAGCAACGCCGCGUGCGGGAUGACGGCCUUCGGGUUGUAAACCGAUUUCAGCAGGGACGAAGCUUUUUGUGACGGUACCUGCAGAAGAAGCACCGGCUAACUACGUG